This 670-nucleotide ribosomal RNA is filed under the name uncultured bacterium. Its description in RNAcentral is "bacterial SSU rRNA". It matches the Rfam family "Bacterial small subunit ribosomal RNA", at positions 56 to 700 of the family's 1533-position model. The record is from RNAcentral.
UGCAAGUCGAACGAGAAGUACGUAGCAAUACGUAUUGUAAAGUGGCGCACGGGUGAGUAACACGUGGGUAAUCUGCCCUUGAGUUUGGGAUAACCCCGCGAAAGCGGGGCUAAUACCGAAUAAGACCACGGGGACCAAAGUCCCUGAGGUAAAAGGUGGCCUCUAUUUAUAAGCUACCACUUGAGGAUGAGCCCGCGGCCCAUUAGCUAGUUGGCAGGGUAACGGCCUACCAAGGCAAUGAUGGGUAGCUGGUCUGAGAGGACGAUCAGCCACACUGGAACUGAGACACGGUCCAGACUCCUACGGGAGGCAGCAGUGGGGAAUAUUGCGCAAUGGGCGAAAGCCUGACGCAGCAACGCCGCGUGGGGGAUGAAGGUUCUCGGAUUGUAAACCCCUUUCGAUCGGAACGAAUCCCCUCCUGGUAAAUAAUCAGGAGGAUCGACGGUACCGAGAGAAGAAGCCACGGCUAACUCUGUGCCAGCAGCCGCGGUAAGACAGAGGUGGCGAGCGUUGUUCGGAUUUAUUGGGCGUAAAGCGAACGCAGGUGGUUUGGUAAGUCAGGGGUGAAAGACCACAGCUUAACUGUGGCAUUGCCUUUGAUACUGCCUUUCUUGAGUAGAGUAGGGGGAAGCGGAAUUCCGAGUGUAGAGGUGAAAUUCGUAGAUAUUCG